This 301-nucleotide ribosomal RNA is filed under the name uncultured bacterium. RNAcentral's name for it is "partial 16S ribosomal RNA". It matches the Rfam family "Bacterial small subunit ribosomal RNA", at positions 509 to 807 of the family's 1533-position model. The record is from RNAcentral.
CAGCCGCCACGGUAAAACGGAGGGUGCAAGCGUUAAUCGGAAUUACUGGGCGUAAAGCGCACGCAGGCGGUCUGUCAAGUCAGAUGUGAAAUCCCCGGGCUUAACCUGGGAACUGCAUUUGAAACUGGCAGGCUAGAGUCUUGUAGAGGGGGGUAGAAUUCCAGGUGUAGCGGUGAAAUGCGUAGAGAUCUGGAGGAAUACCGGUGGCGAAGGCGGCCCCCUGGACAAAGACUGACGCUCAGGUGCGAAAGCGUGGGGAGCAAACAGGAUUAGAUACCCCAGUAGUCCCUGUCUCUUAUAC